UACGUAGGGUGCGAGCGUUGUCCGGAAUUAUUGGGCGUAAAGGGCUCGUAGGCGGUCUGUCGCGUCGGGAGUGAAAACUCAGGGCUUAACCCUGAGCCUGCCUCCGAUACGGGCAGACUAGAGGUAUGCAGGGGAGAACGGAAUUCCUGGUGUAGCGGUGGAAUGCGCAGAUAUCAGGAGGAACACCGGUGGCGAAGGCGGUUCUCUGGGCAUUACCUGACGCUGAGGAGCGAAAGUGUGGGGAGCGAACAGG
Molecule: ribosomal RNA, 253 nt
Filed under: uncultured bacterium
Lineage: Bacteria
Description: partial 16S ribosomal RNA
Rfam family: Bacterial small subunit ribosomal RNA
Source: RNAcentral